This 839-nucleotide ribosomal RNA is filed under the name Clostridium botulinum. Its description in RNAcentral is "bacterial SSU rRNA". It matches the Rfam family "Bacterial small subunit ribosomal RNA", at positions 614 to 1455 of the family's 1533-position model. Lineage: Bacteria; Bacillati; Bacillota; Clostridia; Eubacteriales; Clostridiaceae. The record is from RNAcentral.
CUGGGGGCUGCAUUCCAAACUGGAUAUCUAGAGUGCAGGAGAGGAAAGCGGAAUUCCUAGUGUAGCGGUGAAAUGCGUAGAGAUUAGGAAGAACACCAGUGGCGAAGGCGGCUUUCUGGACUGUAACUGACGCUGAGGCACGAAAGCGUGGGUAGCAAACAGGAUUAGAUACCCUGGUAGUCCACGCCGUAAACGAUGGAUACUAGGUGUAGGGGGUAUCAACUCCCCCUGUGCCGCAGUUAACACAAUAAGUAUCCCGCCUGGGGAGUACGGUCGCAAGAUUAAAACUCAAAGGAAUUGACGGGGGCCCGCACAAGCAGCGGAGCAUGUGGUUUAAUUCGAAGCAACGCGAAGAACCUUACCUGGACUUGACAUCCCUUGCAUAGCCUAGAGAUAGGUGAAGCCCUUCGGGGCAAGGAGACAGGUGGUGCAUGGUUGUCGUCAGCUCGUGUCGUGAGAUGUUAGGUUAAGUCCUGCAACGAGCGCAACCCUUGUUAUUAGUUGCUACCAUUAAGUUGAGCACUCUAAUGAGACUGCCUGGGUAACCAGGAGGAAGGUGGGGAUGACGUCAAAUCAUCAUGCCCCUUAUGUCCAGGGCUACACACGUGCUACAAUGGUAGGUACAAUAAGACGCAAGACCGUGAGGUGGAGCAAAACUUAUAAAACCUAUCUCAGUUCGGAUUGUAGGCUGCAACUCGCCUACAUGAAGCUGGAGUUGCUAGUAAUCGCGAAUCAGAAUGUCGCGGUGAAUACGUUCCCGGGCCUUGUACACACCGCCCGUCACACCAUGAGAGCUGGUAACACCCGAAGUCCGUGAGGUAACCGUAAGGAGCCAGCGG